CUAGCGACUUCAGAGUUUGAUCCUGGCUCAGGACGAACGCUGGCGGCGUGCUUAACACAUGCAAGUCGAACGAGGAUAUACCAGAGGAGAGCUUCGGCAGGAAUCAGGUAUAUUCGAGUGGCGGACGGGUGAGUAACGCGUGAGCAACCUGUCCCAGACAGGGGGAUAACACUUGGAAACAGGUGCUAAUACCGCAUAAGACCACGGUAUCACAUGGUAGUGGGGUAAAAGGAGCAAUCCGGUUUGGGGUGGGCUCGCGUCCGAUUAGAUAGUUGGUGAGGUAACGGCCCACCAAGUCGACGAUCGGUAGCCGACCUGAGAGGGUGAUCGGCCACAUUGGAACUGAGAGACGGUCCAA
RNAcentral lists this ribosomal RNA (358 nucleotides) under uncultured bacterium. RNAcentral describes it as "bacterial SSU rRNA". It matches the Rfam family "Bacterial small subunit ribosomal RNA", at positions 1 to 334 of the family's 1533-position model. The record is from RNAcentral.